RNAcentral lists this ribosomal RNA (253 nucleotides) under uncultured bacterium. RNAcentral's name for it is "partial 16S ribosomal RNA". It matches the Rfam family "Bacterial small subunit ribosomal RNA", at positions 524 to 776 of the family's 1533-position model. The record is from RNAcentral.
UACGGAGGGUGCAAGCGUUAUUCGGAAUUACUGGGCGUAAAGGGUGCGUAGGUGGUUUAGAAAGUUAACUGUGAAAGCCCCGGGCUUAACCUGGGAAGGCCAGUUAAGACUUCUGGACUAGAGUAUGGGAGAGGGUAGUGGAAUUCCCGGUGUAGCGGUGAAAUGCGUAGAGAUCGGGAGGAACACCAGUGGCGAAGGCGGCUACCUGGCCUAAUACUGACACUGAGGCACGAAAGCGUGGGGAGCAAGCAGG